UGAUGACUGUUCCUCCUAAUGACUCAAGCCUGGCAUUAGGAUUUUAGGUCAUCAUAAAUUAAAAUUUGAUUUUCUUCACUCAGAGAUCACGUGGAUAGUGGGAUUAUCUGUCUGUUCUCUGAAAUUUGCGGAAUCAAACAUUU
Molecule: small nucleolar RNA, 143 nt
Organism: Ochotona princeps (American pika)
Lineage: Eukaryota; Metazoa; Chordata; Mammalia; Lagomorpha; Ochotonidae
Gene: SNORA79
Product: small nucleolar RNA, H/ACA box 79
Source: Ensembl